This is a long non-coding RNA of Strongylocentrotus purpuratus (purple sea urchin), 5929 nucleotides long. RefSeq lists it as uncharacterized. The record is from RefSeq and is a predicted model, not a curated record. Lineage: Eukaryota; Metazoa; Echinodermata; Echinoidea; Camarodonta; Strongylocentrotidae. The transcript has 3 exons.
UGCUCAUCCGAUCUGUCACUUCAAUCACCAAGUCGGGAAUAUUCAACUAAAUUUUACAACAUACUUCAAGGGAACUUAAUCUGAAAGUGUCAGGAACUGAUUCAUAAGGAGGAACAUUGAUAGGAGGAACAUUGAUUGCAGAUACGUCGGUAAAUAGGUACCAUUAACCCUAUGCCAAUUUGAUGCUGUGUUCCUGAUUUUGAUCCUGAGUUCCUGAAUUUGAUCCUGUCAUCCUGAUCCCGCAACUGUGUUCCCGAUUCCGUUCCCGUCUUCGACGUCGUCAUCUUUCCUGUUCCCAUACCCGCAGCAUCGUUGUCCAUCUCUUCAUCUCGUCUGCAACGGCCGAAUCAGUACAUCCACUCGAAUCGCGAAUAGUCUACCGCGCUGUAUGUAAGUGGCCACAGUACUAACAAUUUCUAACUAACCUCCUUCUUCCCAACCCUUAAUGUCCCAUUUAUUUAGAUUAACAAGUUAAGGCUUUUAAAGUGUAUUUUAGCUUAAGGUGUAUUUUGAUAUGAUUGUAUGUUGAAGAGAGGACAGAGAUCUUCUGGAUUAUUGAUACUAUUUCCAUGACAUUGUUUGAUAAUAAAUACUGUUAGAAGAGUAGUUGAUACAGGUCAGUGAUUGAUAAAUAAACAUAUAUGACACCUUAAAUAUUAUAUCGUGUCCCAGCGCUUUUAUUCUUUGACUUUAUUUUAAAUCGGUGGUCUAUUUGAACUAACCCCUCCCCCGAGUGAAAGUCAUAGCUAGCGGACCAAUACAAAAACCUGAUUUCACUCGGAGCUCGAUUCUACUAUUUCAUUAUAAUAGAUGACGGCGUGGUGUGGGCGGUUAGACGGAACCCACAACCUUAUUUCCGCGUUAUCAGCACGAUUUUAAAAGCUCUCCAAAUUCAUAAGAAACUUUUUUUUUUAAAUAUUAAUAAUUGCAUGUUUCCAGAAAGACUGGUAUGAUUUUCCUGGUCAAGUUCAGCGCUUGGGCAUGAAUUUAUCUAUUACGUACAUUCCUUAAUAGUGACCUUGUUUCCUAUUUGUUGAUAAUGUUUGAUAUUAUUUGAUUUGUGGUAUUAUAUUUCAUGUGUGCAGAGGAAUAGUUAAUUGGUUCGGAAAUUAAUGAUAUAUCAUUUGGUUUUAUCCUGAUUUAUUGCAAAUCAUUUUCUCAUAGCAAUCAGGUUUACGUAGGUCGUAGCCAUGGGCAGAAUAAGUUACCUUUUCCUUUUUAUGUUUGUUUCUUUGAAUAUGUUUGGCGUGCCUCCGGUUGAUAGACUUUGUUGUCAGUUGUGUGAGUGUGGAGGUCAUGAUGAAAAAGAAAAAGAUGACACAAUAGUUGAGAUGUAUAUUUUGAAAAACUUAAAAAGUUUAGUAUUUCCAAGCCGAGCAAAACUUAAGAUUUAAACGGUCCCCGUUCGGAUAGAUUAUAGCAAGCACUGACUUAUUAUCCUAUUUUUUGGCUUUUGAUUUAUUUAAGGUAAUUAAAAUAUGUUGUAGUAACAUUAUGGCAAUUCCAAAAGUUUUAAAUUACAAUAAUAUUAUUUUUCCCUGUAAGUGACAUGUAAGUUUUGUUAAACCCAAGUAAUUCAUCAUAGUAUUGUCAAAGAUCAGGGAUUUUUAGUUGUGCCAGGGAGAAGGAAUAAUUGCGCAAAUUAGUUUUGUUUUGAGGAGUUGAGGAGGGCACUCGCUCUGACUUAUUUAUAUUUUAAGUUGAUAGAAAGAAUUGUUUUUAGGGAACACAUGAUAGUUUGCUACUAACAAAUUAGAGAUUUCGGGUAUUGUUGUGAUCAAGGUAAUCGUAGGUACUGAGACAGAAAGUAUAAGAAGGCUUAGAACAGUGGACCAAAUAAAGAUGUGAGAGAAGAUUUUCAUUAAAUUAGAUGUAGCAUUUAAGUUCCAGCUAGGGUGGAGUUCAAGGAACUUCCACGUAUUCCCCUUAUCAAGAGCUCAUUGCUGGCUUUAGUUUCUGCAACGAAAUAAGUCGUAAAUAGGCAUGAUGCAGAUAAGGUAGGAGUAGGCUGUUUUAAAGUAGUUUAGUAUCGGAGAUCAUCAUGUUACGGUUAGUCUAAAAGAAAGAUAACGUUGCACAUGGAUGAGUUUUUUUUUUUUUUUAAAUAGUUUUGUUAGUAUUUUCUUGAGGAAAAUAUUGAGAUGCUACCUUUGUAGGAGCGUCCAGUCGUAUAUAUUUUUAUAUGUGUAGUUGAAAGUCUGAUCAAUGUUUUAAAGUGGUCCACUAUUGCUUUGCCUUUUGUGCUUAAAUUUCUAGCCUGCUAGUUGCUGAUAUCACACAUUUAAUUCAAUGGGAUAUAGAAUAUUUUCUUUCUGGGAAGUAUAUCUUUUGAGAGUAAAACUAAAAGUAUUUUUGUUUUGAAAAAUUGUUAGAUAUGAAUUUUGGUAGAAAUUGUUGGAUAAGGGAAAAUUUGAUAGAGAAUAUAUUUAAUUUGCCAUUUCGUUACUUCAGCAUAUACAACUGUUAAAUGUGAGAAAAUGUUCGGAUUUUGAUUUGUUUUUUUGUUUUUUGUUUUUUUUUGGUUAAAAAUUUGGAAAUAAUUAACCUAGGCCCCAUCAUAGAUUAUGAAGUAAUUGCAAGGACUGUCCCAUGGCAAAAUGAUAAGGGAGAUGACUUGAUCCCGAGUUUAGGUAUUAUUUAGCAACUUGUACUAAAUAAUGAAGACUGUGUGGUGAUAUAUUUGUUGAUGUUGUUUUUGUUGAUGAUGUUGAAACAGUGAUAAUGAUGAUGAAGUGGAAGGUGGUGUUACUCCGUCCCCUACCCGUCCAUGUGAGCAGCAAGAGGCCGCCUGAAUUGAAGAGGAAGACUGUCCUCCGAGACGGUCACAAAGGUGCCAGCGCCCUGACCGGAUAGAUUUAUUCCAUUAGAGACAAGUGUACUGGACAAAAGUGCUGAUUUUGAAUUUCAAUUAGGCCAGUCAAUUCCAGAUUGCACAGGUUCUGAAAUUAGAGAUGAUGGUUCUGUUACUUCUGUAAAUACAGAUGAUAUUGCGACUGAAGAUAAUGUAAGAAAUUAUGCUCCUGUAGAAGUUGACCCCUCUCCUGUCCCUUCAGGUGACGAGCAAGAGACCGCCUCUGUUGAAGAGGAGGACUGUCCACCGAGACAGUCAAAAAGAUGUUCUCGUCAACCUGAUCGGUUAACGUAUUAUCAAAGUCAAAUUGUCCAACCAAUUGUUAGGAAUAAAUACAAUUGUAUGAUGUUGUAUGGACUGCUGAUGAUGCUGCUUUUGAAGUUUGUGUUUGUUUUGUUUUCACCAGUUGAGAUUGUUGUGAGCGUGAUGUUGAUAUCGAUGAUUCUUAUAAUGUCAUCUUUUCCCAUAGUAAGAGAACAGUUAGCCUUCUUUUUUUUUAGAUCAGAAAUUGUGCCUACAUAUAGGAUACAACCUGAAUUCUUUAAGGGGAAUAGGACUUGUUAUGAUAUUGUUAAUGACAAAAACUUGGGAGAAUGAAGUCUUUUUCAUUUAUAAAUUGCUAUUCCUCUGAAUAACAUGAUAUUUAGCUCAAUAUUGUAAUAAUAUAGAUACUCUACUUUGUUGAUUUAUUGUCUGAACAUGGCUGGAGCAUGUCUCACUAUGCCAACCAAACCAGAUUGGUUUGAUUUAAGUUUUAGACUUUGUCAUUAUUUUGUUGGUUGAUCUAUCAGUUGAUCAUUUCUUUCAUAAAUAAUGUCCAAUAUACUGCGGACAUUAUUAUUUAUUUUGUUUUAUCAACGCACGUUAAAUGAUUGGUAUCAUUGAAGGGUGCAUAAAGGAUACCCUAGUUUCACAUGAAUUUAGUGAAUAGGUUACUUUUAAAAGUAAGCCAUAUUUAUUUUGUUUUGUUCACGUUUGAGUUUGAAGAUUAGGAAUAUGAUUGAAUAUUCCAUAGAUUACUAUAAUGAAAUUAUAAGGGCAGUUCUGGAAAAGAGAGAUCGAUGUCAAAGACCAUUUUACAUUUCACUUUUUAUUCAAAUUUGAUUGUAGUUUGGAAGAAAUGAUGAUUUGACCGUAUUAAUAUCUCAAGGCACUUUUAGUGUGCUUAUGUUGUAUUUAAUAUUAAGGCGAACUUAAAUAUAGUUCCGUUUGUUUUAUUUUGAUUGUUUAAACUUGUUACCUGUUACAUCAGAGUCACAUGAGUUGAUAGUCAGAUUUCUGAUAAUUAUUAUAUUGAAACUUAAUUGAAUUUUUGCAUUCGAUAUUUAAACCAUGUUUGAUUUGAAAUUGCUGUUGUAGUAAGACAAAGUAAUAAUUAAUCUGAGUGGAAGAUAUCAAACCAAUUCACACAUGUGGAGUGUGGAAGAAAUUAUUUUGGAUUGUAAUAAUUUGUACUGGUGUGUUUUCUGUGUAUACUUUCUUAUAUUCUAAGUAUAUAUUUUGUAUUUGAUAAACAAAAUUUAAGCAAGGUCACUAGUAAAAUAAGGUGUCUUAGUAGGUGUCAUGAAAGAUUUGUGAUAUUAUGUACAGCUAUUGUUUUAUUGGUGUUCAAUAUCAAUUCAAAAUUACUAUUGCAUAAUUUUAGAAUUAUUAUUGGGAAUGGCGCGGACGCCAUUCUGGUGGCAGGGGGGAAGGUGUAACAUGGUGGAAUAUUGCUCAUGUAUAGUCCUUCUCUCUUCUUGUUGUAUUCUCUCUUUCUCUCUCUCUCUCUCUCUCUAUCUUUAUCUUUGUCUCUUUCUGCUGUAUCUUUCUUUGUCUUAAUUUGUUAUAGAUGUAUUUAUAAAAUGUGCUGGCAUGUCUAGUUGAAGCUAUCUAUUGAAGCUAUCCUGUUCCCACACUGGGAUAUAGCCUUUAUGACCCUAUUGCCAUUCACAGUAUUAAUCCAUCCUGUUCGAUACAAUACUAGACUUUAAUGCCAUUCAUAAAUCUGUAAUAAUAGAGAUUAAGCUCUAUGAAAGGGGAUUUAGAUAUCAGACGGGCUCUUUGUGGUCAUUCAUGCUUUGUGACUAUUCUUAGAAAUAUGCUCUUUGAAGAUCACCUCAUAGGACUGUGUCUUGGGCCAUGAGUGGUGACCUUGAACCAAUAAGAGUAGAGUUUUAGAUUAGACCCCUUCCCCCUUUUUAAAGUAAUGACCAAUAAAAUGAUCGGAGGAAAAGUCGAGUAUGAAUGUUUAAUGAGGUAUAAAAGUAGUUUGCAUGAAUGUUUUGAUCACUUGGCUCCACCCCGACUUGGUCUCCUCUACCUGUACCCCUGUCCUCCCAUCUCCCUCAAGCUGUCCCUGAACUAACAACUAAUUGCUGCAUGUGAAAAUCAACAAGUUCUGGACUCUCAAAGUUAACGAAGUACAGCGUUUUCCAGAAAUCGUUCAAGAAAGCCAAGUCACUUCAAUCACCAAGUCGGGAAUAUUCAACUAAAUUUUACAACAUACUUCAAGGGAACUUAAUCUGAAAGUGUCAGGAACUGAUUCAUAAGGAGGAACAUUGAUAGGAGGAACAUUGAUUGCAGAUACGUCGGUAAAUAGGUACCAUUAACCCUAUGCCAAUUUGAUGCUGUGUUCCUGAUUUUGAUCCUGAGUUCCUGAAUUUGAUCCUGUCAUCCUGAUCCCGCAACUGUGUUCCCGAUUCCGUUCCCGUCUUCGACGUCGUCAUCUUUCCUGUUCCCAUACCCGCAGCAUCGUUGUCCAUCUCUUCAUCUCGUCUGCAACGGCCGAAUCAGUACAUCCACUCGAAUCGCGAAUAGUCUACCGCGCUGUAUGUAAGUGGCCACAGUACUAACAAUUUCUAACUAACCUCCUUCUUCCCAACCCUUAAUGUCCCAUUUAUUUAGAUUAACAAGUUAAGGCUUUUAAAGUGUAUUUUAGCUUAAGGUGUAUUUUGAUAUGAUUGUAUGUUGAAGAGAGGACAGAGAUCUUCUGGAUUAUUGAUACUAUUUCCAUGACAUUGUUUGAUAAUAAAUACUGUUAGAAGAGUAGUUGAUACAGGUCAGUGAUUGAUAAAUAAACAUAUAUGACACCUUAAA